Molecule: ribosomal RNA, 396 nt
Filed under: uncultured bacterium
Lineage: Bacteria
Description: bacterial SSU rRNA
Rfam family: Bacterial small subunit ribosomal RNA
Source: RNAcentral
GGAAUAUUGCGCAAUGGAGGCAACUCUGACGCAGCCAUGCCGCGUGGGUGAAGAAGGCCUUCGGGUUGUAAAGCCCUUUCGACGGGGAAGAUGAUGACGGUACCCGUAUAAGAAGCCCCGGCUAACUUCGUGCCAGCAGCCGCGGUAAUACGAAGGGGGCUAGCGUUGUUCGGAAUUACUGGGCGUAAAGGGCGCGUAGGCGGAUCGGCCAGUCAGGGGUGAAAUCCCGGGGCUCAACCUCGGAACUGCCUUUGAUACUGCCGAUCUAGAGUCUGUGAGAGGGUGGCGGAAUACCCAGUGUAGAGGUGAAAUUCGUAGAUAUUGGGUAGAACACCAGUGGCGAAGGCGGCCACCUGGCACAGUACUGACGCUGAGGCGCGAAAGCGUGGGGAGCAA